This 1522-nucleotide long non-coding RNA is filed under the name Arabidopsis lyrata. Its description in RNAcentral is "long non-coding RNA (ALYR_LNC000957)". The record is from RNAcentral. Lineage: Eukaryota; Viridiplantae; Streptophyta; Magnoliopsida; Brassicales; Brassicaceae.
AGACAUCACGAAACUCGGGUGACCAGUGGCACAACCCAAGUUCAUGAGACGACCCUCAGCCAAGACAAUGAUUCCGGUCUUGGUCUCUGGGAACACCCACCUGUCAGUCUGAGGCUUGAUGGUGAUACGCUUAACACCAGGGUAAGUCUCCAAUCCAAGCAUGUCAAUCUCAUUGUCAAAGUGACCAAUGUUGCACACAAUAGCGUUGUUCUUCAUCUUCCUCAUGUGGUCAACCAUGAUGAUGUCUUUGUUACCAGUGGUGGUGACAAAGAUAUCAGCUUCUGAGACAACAUCCUCAAGGGUAAGAACCUGAAGUCCUUCCAUCAAAGCUUGAAGGGCACAGAUGGGGUCAAUCUCAGUCACAAUGACUCUAGCACCAGCAGUCUUCAUGGCAGCAGCACAACCCUUUCCAACAUCACCAUAUCCACAGAUAACAGCAACCUUUCCAGCGAUCAUAACAUCAGUGGCCCUCAUGAGACCAUCAGGAAGUGAGUGACGGCAACCAUACAAGUUGUCGAACUGUAAAUCAACAACACAUGAAAUUCUCAGUGACAGCACAUAACAUUAAUCUGUUCUCCACUAAUAAUAAACAAACACAGUGAUGAAUAUAAAAUCAAUUAGAAACACUGAGUUUAAAGUUAACCCUGUAACCAAGUAAAGACAGUUUCCUACUACUUAGUGAUUACGUUGUUGUUUAAACCUAUAAGCAACAAAAACUACAGAUCUAGAGACCUAUCAGCCUCAUCAUCACUAGUAAAGAUCAAUACCUUGCUCUUGGUGACAGAGUCAUUGACGUUAAUGGCAGGGAACAAGAGAGUUCCAUUUUCCUGCAUCUGAUAAAGCCUCUUAACACCAGUAGUAGUUUCCUCAGAGACACCAACAAGUCUCUCCUUCAUCUUAUGGUACUUCUUAGGAUCAACCUGAAGACCUUCCUUGAUAAUAGACAACACGAUCUGAAACUCAGGGUUAUCAGUAGAAGUAGGAUCAGGAACUUGACCAGUCUUCUCAAAAAUCUCCUCAGCUUUAACACCUUCAUGAAUCAAAAGCGUAGCGUCACCACCAUCAUCAACAAUCAGAUCAGGACCACCACCUGGACCCCAAUCAAGAGCACGUUCCGUACACCACCAAUACUCCUGAAGCGUCUCACCUUUCCAGGCGAAAACAGCGGCGGAGUCACGAGCGAUUGCGGCGGCGGCGUGGUCUUGAGUGGAGAAGAUGUUGCAAGAACACCAUCUGACUUCAGCACCGAGAGCAGUUAGGGUUUCGAUGAGUACGGCGGUUUGGAUCGUCAUGUGAAGAGAUCCGGUGAUUCUAGCGCCUUUGAAUGGUUGAGAUGGUCCGAACUCGGUACGACAAGCCAUGAGUCCAGGCAUCUCAACUUCGGCGAGCUCGAGUUCGAGACGACCGAAAUCGGCUUGAGACAUGUCUUUGACCUUGUAUUCACGGCCGCUUGAGGUCUUCUCGACGAGCAACGCCAUUUUUCUAGAUCUGAGAUUUGAAAUCGAAGGAGGCAGAGAGAGAG